GGUAUCUAGCUCAGUGGUAGAGUGCCUGCCUCGCACGUAUGAGGCACUGGGUUCGAUCCUCAGCACCA
Molecule: transfer RNA, 68 nt
Filed under: Marmota marmota marmota (Alpine marmot)
Lineage: Eukaryota; Metazoa; Chordata; Mammalia; Rodentia; Sciuridae
Also listed under: 1 other name
Rfam family: tRNA
About the family: Transfer RNA (tRNA) molecules are approximately 80 nucleotides in length. Their secondary structure includes four short double-helical elements and three loops (D, anti-codon, and T loops).
Source: Rfam by way of RNAcentral